UCUGUGGCGCAAUUGGCUAGCGCGUCUGACUGUUAAUCAGGAGGUUGGUGGUUCGAGCCCACCCGGAGGAG
RNAcentral lists this transfer RNA (71 nucleotides) under Cytospora mali. RNAcentral's name for it is "tRNA-Asn (GTT) (tRNA-Asn-GTT-4-1, tRNA-Asn-GTT-4-2)". It matches the Rfam family "tRNA". Rfam says of the family: Transfer RNA (tRNA) molecules are approximately 80 nucleotides in length. Their secondary structure includes four short double-helical elements and three loops (D, anti-codon, and T loops). The record is from RNAcentral. Lineage: Eukaryota; Fungi; Ascomycota; Sordariomycetes; Diaporthales; Cytosporaceae.